Molecule: ribosomal RNA, 504 nt
Filed under: uncultured bacterium
Lineage: Bacteria
Description: partial 16S ribosomal RNA
Rfam family: Bacterial small subunit ribosomal RNA
Source: RNAcentral
GACGAACGCUGGCGGCGUGCCUAAUACAAGCAAGUAGAACGCACAGUUUAUACCGUAGCUUGCUACACCAUAGACUGUGAGUUGCGAACGGGUGAGUAACGCGUAGGUAACCUGCCUGGUAGCGGGGGAUAACUAUUGGAAACGAUAGCUAAUACCGCAUAAUAUUAAUUAUUGCAUGAUAAUUAAUUGAAAGGUGCAAUUGCACCACUACCAGAUGGACCUGCGUUGUAUUAGCUAGUAGGUGAGGUAACGGCUCACCUAGGCGACGAUACAUAGCCGACCUGAGAGGGUGAUCGGCCACACUGGAACUGAGACACGGCCCAGACUCCUACGGGAGGCAGCAGUAGGGAUCUUCGGCAAUGGACGAAAGUCUGACCGAGCAACGCCGCGUGAGGGAAGAAGGUUGUCGGAUCGUAAAGCUCUGUUGUAAGAGAAGAACGGGUGUGAGAGUGGAAAGUUCACACUGUGACGGUAUCUGACCAGAAAGGGACGGCUAACUACGUG